Meriones unguiculatus (Mongolian gerbil) is the source of this 140-nucleotide small nucleolar RNA. RefSeq annotates it as small nucleolar RNA SNORA48. The transcript has a single exon. Lineage: Eukaryota; Metazoa; Chordata; Mammalia; Rodentia; Muridae. The record is from RefSeq and is a predicted model, not a curated record.
GUCUGCUGCAAUGGGCAGAGAGACACCUCAUUGGGGGUGUUCUUCUAUCAGUCAGGAGCAGAGCAGAGGGCAGUCCUUUCUUCAUCCUAGCCUGGUACCUGGCUUGGUGGCCAAAGCUGCCUUAUGCCUCAGAGUCAUAA